This 459-nucleotide ribosomal RNA is filed under the name uncultured bacterium. Its description in RNAcentral is "partial 16S ribosomal RNA". It matches the Rfam family "Bacterial small subunit ribosomal RNA", at positions 338 to 795 of the family's 1533-position model. The record is from RNAcentral.
CCUACGGGAGGCAGCAGUGAGGAAUAUUGGUCAAUGGGCGGGAGCCUGAACCAGCCAAGCCGCGUGAGGGAAGAAGGUACAGCGUAUCGUAAACCUCUUUUGUCAGGGAACAAAGGCGGGGACUAGUCCCCGGAUGAGGGUACCUGAAGAAAAAGCAUCGGCUAACUCCGUGCCAGCAGCCGCGGUAAUACGGAGGAUGCGAGCGUUAUCCGGAUUUAUUGGGUUUAAAGGGUGCGCGGGCGGUCUGUUAAGUCAGCGGUCAAAGCCCGGGGCUCAACCCCGGCCCGCCGUUGAAACUGGCAGUCUCGAGUUGGAGAGAAGUAUGCGGAAUGCGCGGUGUAGCGGUGAAAUGCAUAGAUAUCGCGCAGAACUCCGAUUGCGAAGGCAGCAUGCCGGCUCCACACUGACGCUGAGGCACGAAAGCGUGGGUAUCGAACAGGAUUAGAUACCCCUGUAGUC